CUCUCUCUCUCUCUCUCUCUCUCUCAUGCUCUCUCUCUCUCUCUCAUGCUCUCUCUCUCUCUCUCUCAUGCUCUCUCUCUCAUGCUCUCUCUCAUGCUCUCUCUCUCAUGCUCUCUCUCUCAUGCUCUCUCUCUCAUGCUCUCUCUCUCAUGCUCUCUCUCUCAUGCUCUCUCUCUCAUGCUCUCUCUCUCAUGCUCUCUCUCUCAUGCUCUCCACCCCUCCUCUCGCUUUUUUUUGCAGGAUGAGAAACAACUUGUCAGAGUAGCAACAGAGCCUCUGAUCCCCAGAGGGAGCAUUGGGUCCCAGGCGUAUUCAGACAGGCCAUAUUCCUGACAAUCAGGCUCCACAGAUGACUUCACAACCUGAGGGCGGUGUGAUCACAAUGAGCCCAGCCGUCCUCCCAUUCUUCCUUCCACCAGCUUCUACUGCUUGAGGGUCUCUGAUACUGAAGUCAUUGCAUUGCUCAUCCAGUCCUGUGCUGAAACCAGAGAACAGAACCACAUCAAAC
Molecule: long non-coding RNA, 508 nt
Filed under: Salmo salar (Atlantic salmon)
Lineage: Eukaryota; Metazoa; Chordata; Actinopteri; Salmoniformes; Salmonidae
Description: lncRNA (ENSSSAG00000101042.1)
Source: RNAcentral